Long non-coding RNA from Medicago truncatula (barrel medic), 3510 nucleotides. RefSeq lists it as uncharacterized. Lineage: Eukaryota; Viridiplantae; Streptophyta; Magnoliopsida; Fabales; Fabaceae. The transcript has 5 exons. The record is from RefSeq and is a predicted model, not a curated record.
AUAAAUAUUGCUUGUUGUUAAUGCUUAAAAAUUUCGUAAAUGUGAGCUUAACUCAAUUGGUAAGGACAAUUCAUAAUAUAUACAAGAUCGGGAUUCAAACCCCGAACACGACACAAAAAAAAUGCUUAAAAAUUUCAUGAGCUUUAAACUACAUGUUAGACUCUUAAAGCUUUUCCAUCCACUUCAUGACCUCCUCAGUAGGAACAAUUACUUGGAUAAUAAGUAAUGAUUUAAAGCAAGUUUAAGGACAAAUCUAUAUAUUAAUAAAGGAAUACAAUGCUGCAAGUUUGCCCUAGAAUUCACUAUGCAAGAAAUACCAUUUUGUACUGAUGGCAUUGAAGCGGGAAAACCCCAAGUUUUUCAAUUUGGUCUGCCAAUUACCGUUUUACCCUUUUGGUGGAAAGCAUUGGCCGGUGCACACUGCACAAGAGUGGACGGUUCACACUGCAGAAUUGACAAAUUGCUCCAAAGCUUCUUCUUUUCUUCUCUCUGUUACAACAUAACUUCUCUCCCUUUCUCUUCUCAUUCUCAUUACCAGCCUCUUUUUCUUCUCUCUCUCUCUCUCCUUACUCAUGCAUAGCGCCGAAACUGAGACGGCGGUGGCAGCAUAACAAGUGGAACCGAAAGAGAUUCAGUGAGCGAUUGUGACAGGAUCUUCCCUUUGUUCACGAGUUCAGGAAAAAAUUGAUGGUGUUUGUGGUAGCGAGAGUGGAUUGCGGUGGAGUUAACGAGAGGAGAUCAAUUUUUACAGAUAAGUUUUCUAAUGUCACGUAUCAGUCGAAGAGGGUCUGAGCAGCUUGAAGUUACAAUGCAACAAAGGAAAGACAUGUGUUCAAUGAAUAGUCUCCUGCUGAUAAACUUUUGUUAUGCUGCUCGCAGUGGCAGGUCGCCUGCGACUGUUGCAUCAAUUGACAAGUCAAAAUGAUAUAGAAGGAGAAAUCACCAAUGAAGCAUUUUUACACUAACUGAGGUAAACGGACUAUAGUUAUGUUUGGGCUAAAUUAGAAGUAAAUACUUGAUUGCAAAAUGCAUAUUUUGACUUGAUUUGGUCUUUGUUUUUCAAUGUGGUUAUGUAGAUUAACAUGUGUAAUUGUUCUUGGUCGUCCUUUUAUUAGUUGGCUUCUUUCCGCCCCUUGGAAAACUAUUUGAGAAGGUAUAUGUCUAUCUUUUUGAAAAAUUCAUGAUUGCACAAAAUGAUCCUACUUUCAAGAUUACCAAGCAUAAAUAUAAACUAAACUUUAUGGGAGGAACUGUUGUUUUCAAAGUUACUUCUGCUACUGAAAUACCAAAAAGUCACUUUCAAUUUGUGCCUUUUCCAGAGAUUUUAGCAUGCUCUAAGAAGGAUCAGAUACUUGGUUAGUUACUCUUCUCUUUUGAAUUGUUUAUUUUCAUGAGUUUUUAGUUCAUUUCUCAUAUAUACUUGGAAAAUGAAAUCAUAUUUUUAGAUGUUAUUGGUCAUGUUGAGAAAGACACUGUCAAGGAUAUCGUGAAUAAAGAGAUAUUGACGAAAUCAAGUACUAAGAAUGCAUAAGGAUAUUGAUAAGAUAAUAUAUUGAUAAGAUAUUUUAUUUUAUCAUGAAAGCAAAUUGAGAUGGUCAUUAGUUAUAUAGCUCAUGAAUUUUAUUUCUAUAUGUCUGUGCUUCAACUUGCUAAGGUUAUAUGUAGUCUAUCCAAUGCUAAUUUAUUGUUUUGUGGUUUAAAUUAACGACCAAAUCUUGCCACCCUGUGUUUGAUAUUGUUUUGAAUUGGUGAGAGUUUGUGGUUAGUGAGAUUCUACUGUAACAAAUUAAAAAAAUCUGAUUUCGGUUAUGAAAGAUGUUGAAUUUGUCCAUAUCCUGACGGAAACAAACCAAGAGGUUGAUUGUCUAGCAAAGGAAGGAUCUUUGAUGAGCAGACGACGGGUGGUGUGAUUUGUGAAUUAAGCUUUGUUUGGUUUCUGCAAGGCUGUUGUUGAUCUGUUUGCAGGAGGUUUUCAGGUUAUCGCUUUCUAUCAUCUAUUUCGGAUAACCACAAAUUUUGGUAGGCGUAGAUUUGUGUGCAUUCCGGUUGUUUGUAGCCCUGGAUAUACAUGUUGGUGUUUCCUUCUUUCGUAAUGAGCAGGCCUUUAGAUUAUUUUGGAGCGUUAUUUUCUGGUUUCAAUGCAGCAAACAGUUCUACCAUGCUGCUAAUUUUCUGGUUUUGGUCCAGCAGAAAGUUCUACUUUGCUGCUAUUUUUGUUUGUUUGAGUCCUAGGGUGUCCAUGGUUGUUUUAUGGUUCAUGUAUUGGUGAGUUAGCAACCUGUUUUUGGUUUGUAUGGCAUGUCUUUGGUAGGAAAUUUUGGUGUUUUAUUUGCUCAGCUUGCCAUUGGUUAUGACUUUGUGUGGUGUAUUGUCCCCUUCGGGCACAUGAUCAUGUGAAAAAGUGGAUUGCGAAAAAUUCUGCUUUAUAAAAAAACUCAGCAGAUAGAGGGGCUGCAGAGAUACCAAAAUCCUGCAAUUGAAGUGUUGAAAAUCUUCUUCCAAUUAGUAUAUGCUUCUAUUAGCUUGCAUCCAUUAUCAUUAGUGUGGACUAUAUGUAUGGUCCACACUAAUUUACCCUGUUCAGUUUCGACCUUCUAUUUCAGGUUUCGCAGCUGAAUAUAUUACUAUUGUCAUGCUAACUGAACGUCAGACUUGAAAUUAGAAAGCAUAGGUGCGGCUGCUGCAACGCACUUUGUAUAUAUGUAUGCUUAUCAUUUAAUUAGAAAUGAUUGGAAAUAUUGGUAUAUUCUUGGCCUCGGUUUGUUGGAUAAUGCUAAACCAAAAUUCUUUGAACUGACACGAUACUGUAUCUUUAAAAUUGUUGUUAUCGAUCUUCUUUAUUCAAUUUUUUUUAUUGCUACUAGAUGAUAUAUUUUGUUGGGUGUUGUUUUGAUUAAAAGUCAAGCACAAUCUCUAGGAAUGCCCACUUUCAAAUUACUCUUUUUGAAACGUGUCUAUUAUUUUGUCUAUUUAGGGAAACAUUUGUUGCCUACCCUCAAGAACUGAAUAUGGGUGUCGACAAACGGAUGUUGUUUAGGGUUGAAGUGAGUGACGCCAACUUAUAUCGGAAUUGGCGCACCUAUGCAGUUAAAAAAAUGACUGAGGAUGAGGAGAUAACCAAGCAAUUCCUAUCGUUGCAUGGGAUAAAUCUUGCCAAUGAUGAGAGGAAGCUCAAUAUGAAGAAGUUGUGUGUCAGUUGGCUGAUUAAGCCCCACUGGAAACAAUUGAAGGUGUUACCAUAAGGAUGAUUCAACUAACAAAGGCAUUGUUAAGAGAACUGCUGCCAGUGUGGACUAAUUGGAUGUUGUAGAUCUUGGUGAAGAAGAUGCGGCCACCGCCAAAGUGCCAUUCAAGUUAUUAGUCUGGUCGGUACAAAGAUUUCUAAGGAUUUAUAGGUUUGAAGUAGGAUAAAUAUAGCCCAUUUCCUAUAGCACAUUCUCACCUGCAUAAUCUUAUAAGAAUGAAACCAAUUAUGAUUGACGCCAGUCAAAGUUAUAAUAUUUUUCAACA